GCGGGCGUAGCAUAAUGGUAAUGCGGCAGCUUCCCAUGCUGUUGACGAGGGUUCGAUUCCCUUCGCCCGCUCCA
Molecule: transfer RNA, 74 nt
Filed under: Hyphomicrobium sp.
Lineage: Bacteria; Pseudomonadati; Pseudomonadota; Alphaproteobacteria; Hyphomicrobiales; Hyphomicrobiaceae
Description: tRNA-Gly
Rfam family: tRNA
About the family: Transfer RNA (tRNA) molecules are approximately 80 nucleotides in length. Their secondary structure includes four short double-helical elements and three loops (D, anti-codon, and T loops).
Source: RNAcentral